UACGUAGGGGCCUAGCGUUGUCCGGAAUUAUUGGGCGUAAAGAGCUCGUAGGCGGUUCGGCAAGUCGGAUGUGGAAUCUCCACGCUUAACGUGGAGGGGCCAUUCGAAACUGCUGUGACUCGAGUCCGGUAGGGGAGUGUGGAAUUCCCGGUGUAGCGGUGAAAUGCGCAGAUAUCGGGAGGAACACCAGUAGUGAAGGCGGCACUCUGGGCCGGAACUGACGCUGAGACGCGAAAGCGUGGGGAGCGAACAGG
RNAcentral lists this ribosomal RNA (254 nucleotides) under uncultured bacterium. RNAcentral's name for it is "partial 16S ribosomal RNA". It matches the Rfam family "Bacterial small subunit ribosomal RNA", at positions 524 to 776 of the family's 1533-position model. The record is from RNAcentral.